UAUAAUGUUUGACUCUUCGUCUGAUUAAAAAAAUUUAUGAUUAAUAUUUUUUAUUAGAUGAUAAAUCAUGAAUAAUACUUUACGCGUGACUAAUUUUUUUUUAACUUUUUGGAAAUCUUUUAAAUAAGACGGAUGGUCAAACAUUGGACAUG
This 152-nucleotide microRNA precursor is filed under the name Oryza brachyantha (malo sina). RNAcentral describes it as "MIR812 microRNA precursor family". It matches the Rfam family "MIR812 microRNA precursor family", at positions 27 to 183 of the family's 205-position model. The record is from Rfam by way of RNAcentral. Lineage: Eukaryota; Viridiplantae; Streptophyta; Magnoliopsida; Poales; Poaceae.